Molecule: long non-coding RNA, 496 nt
Organism: Dipodomys ordii (Ord's kangaroo rat)
Lineage: Eukaryota; Metazoa; Chordata; Mammalia; Rodentia; Heteromyidae
Exons: 3
Source: RefSeq, a predicted model, not a curated record
UACCCUCUGCUCCCGAAUCUCCACCCAAGACAAGCCUGGCCUCCCCUCGAGAACCAGUCCAGAGCUGGGGGUGGCGGCGCACACCUGCAAUCCCGGCUUCUGAGGAGGCAGCUUAAACUAAACAGCUCGCAGGCGCUCAUCUCGUUAAGCAAGCUGGCAUGGGUGACUCACGUCUGGAAUCCCAGCUAUGCGGGAAACAGAGGGCACUUGGCUUUGUCCCGGAGGUCAUCGGCCCACGCUCCACGUGUCCACCCCACACCCGACCCUCGCACGGGCUCUGCGGCACUGGCUGCUGAUACCAGCUCUCUGAAUGGGACACCGAGGUGUCCUUUGCCAGGGCCAGAGGCUGCUGCAGAAAGACCAGCACUGAACGCGGCCUGCUGUCUGUUGGAAGCCACCACUCCAUUCCUGACCCAGGUCCUUCUGGCCAAGAGCUGCAAGUGCCCUAUUAUUCCCUUGAUUCUUUAAAAAUAAAUAAAUAAACCCAAAUGGGUCA